Molecule: ribosomal RNA, 254 nt
Filed under: uncultured bacterium
Lineage: Bacteria
Description: partial 16S ribosomal RNA
Rfam family: Bacterial small subunit ribosomal RNA
Source: RNAcentral
UACGUAGGAGACGAGCGUUGUCCGGAAUCACUGGGCGUAAAGCGCGUGUAGGCGGAUCGGCAAGUCUGCUGUGAAAGCUCCUGGCUUAACCGGGAGUGGUCGGUGGAAACUGCCAGUCUGGAGGACGGUAGAGGUAGGUAGAAUUCCCGGUGUAGUGGUGAAAUGCGCAGAUAUCAGGAGGAACACCGGUGGCGAAGGCGGGUCUCUGGGCAGUAACUGACGCUGAGGAGCGAAAGCGUGGGGGAGCGAACAGG